AACCGUAACAGAGUCCCCAGAACUCCCCGUCAGCAGAAGGGGAGGAACAGAUGGCUGGGGAUGAGCGGAGGAGAGGGAAGAAUCCUUCUAGAAACACUCCUAAGCUGUACUUGGUGAUCAAAGGAGGAACCGCAGUAGCGGUGGAUUUUCUACUGCUGAGCCAAGGGGGAAGUCAUAUAAAAGUUUAGAAUAAUAGAAAUGGUUGCACCCACUGAGUCACCUGGGCCUCAGGGAUGCAGCAUUCAGGUUUUCAAAGUCGAAUUUCGGAAGCUGAUUUCUCUCCUGGGAGUCUGCCAGGCAUGCUGAAGCAUCUCCUUCUGCUGCUGUGAUGCGCCUCCAUGGAGCCAUCCCGGGCUCGCACAGACGGUCUGCUCACGAUUGUGACCAAGUGACAGAGCAGUCUUUCAAGCAGAAGAAUGUUCAGCCACCAGUCCUGGCCACGUGCUCUUAGGGCCAUCCGGGUCUCUGCGCACUGACUCUCUGACGGUGACAGUUUUUACGUCUGUCCCCCACAUGCCAGACACAGGCACGCACCCGAGAGGAGCCUUAUGGAAAAGUGACCCCAGUAGGUCUCCUUCCGGCAUUCAGUCAUCACAGCCCCUGGCUGUGUGUCGGUUCUCAGUGCUGUUGUAGCGGCUAAGUCCUAUCUGACUCUUUGUGACCCCAUGGACUGCAGCCCUCCAAGCUCCUCUGUCCAUGGGAUUUCCCAGGUCCACACAGGAAGUCGAGAACCACACUUGCUCAAGCGUCUUCCCUUCCCGCCCCUUUCUCCCCUGUCCACAUUAACACGGAGUACCUUCAGACACGAUCGAUUGCUCCAGGACCUGGACACACUGCAUCCCCGUCAGCAUCCUAUCUGUAACUAGGGAAGUACGGACCCCCGCUGGAGUCUUGUUUCCAUUC
Molecule: long non-coding RNA, 903 nt
Organism: Odocoileus virginianus texanus
Lineage: Eukaryota; Metazoa; Chordata; Mammalia; Artiodactyla; Cervidae
Source: RefSeq, a predicted model, not a curated record